UACGUAGGGACCAAGCGUUGUUCGGAUUUACUGGGCGUAAAGGGCGCGUAGGCGGCAUAUUAAGUCAGCUGUGAAAUCUCCGAGCUUAACUCGGAACUGUCAGCUGAUACUGAUGUGCUAGAGUGCAGAAGGGGCAACUGGAAUUCUCGGUGUAGCGGUGAAAUGCGUAGAUAUCGAGAGGAACACCUGCGGCGAAGGCGGGUUGCUGGGCUGACACUGACGCUGAUGCGCGGAAGCCAGGGGAGCGAACGGG
RNAcentral lists this ribosomal RNA (253 nucleotides) under uncultured bacterium. RNAcentral describes it as "partial 16S ribosomal RNA". It matches the Rfam family "Bacterial small subunit ribosomal RNA", at positions 524 to 776 of the family's 1533-position model. The record is from RNAcentral.